This 253-nucleotide ribosomal RNA is filed under the name uncultured bacterium. Its description in RNAcentral is "partial 16S ribosomal RNA". It matches the Rfam family "Bacterial small subunit ribosomal RNA", at positions 524 to 776 of the family's 1533-position model. The record is from RNAcentral.
UACGGGGGGGGCAAGCGUUGUUCGGAAUUACUGGGCGUAAAGGGCUCGUAGGCGGCCAACUAAGUCAGACGUGAAAUCCCUCGGCUUAACCGGGGAACUGCGUCUGAUACUGGCGAGCUUGAGUGCAGGAGAGGAACGCGGAAUUCCAGGUGUAGCGGUGAAAUGCGUAGAUAUCUGGAGGAACACCGGUGGCGAAGGCGGCGUUCUGGACUGUAACUGACACUGAGAAGCGAAAGCCAGGGUAGCAAACGGG